UACGGGGGGGGCAAGCGUUGUUCGGAUUUAUUGGGCGUAAAGGGUGCGUAGGCGGCGGAGUAAGUUGGGUGUGAAAUCCCGAGGCUCAACCUCGGAAUUGCAUUCAAUACUGCUUCGCUCGAGUACUGGAGAGGAGGCUGGAAUUUACGGUGUAGCAGUGAAAUGCGUAGAUAUCGUAAGGAAGGCCGGUGGCGAAAGCGAGCCUCUGGACAGUUACUGACGCUGAUGCACGAAGGCCAGGGGAGCAAACGGG
Molecule: ribosomal RNA, 253 nt
Filed under: uncultured bacterium
Lineage: Bacteria
Description: partial 16S ribosomal RNA
Rfam family: Bacterial small subunit ribosomal RNA
Source: RNAcentral